This 254-nucleotide ribosomal RNA is filed under the name uncultured bacterium. RNAcentral describes it as "partial 16S ribosomal RNA". It matches the Rfam family "Bacterial small subunit ribosomal RNA", at positions 524 to 776 of the family's 1533-position model. The record is from RNAcentral.
UACGAAGGGGGCGAGCGUUGUUCGGAAUUACUGGGCGUAAAGGGCGCGCAGGCGGCCUCUUGAAGUCAGAUGUGAAAGCCCCGGGCUCAACCCGGGAGGGUCGUCGUGAACCGGGGGGCUUGAGGCCGGUAGAGGUGGGUGGAACUCCUGGGGGAGUGGUGAAAUGCGUAGAGAUCAGGAAGAACACCCGUGGCGAAGGCGGCCCACUGGGCCGGACCUGACGCUGAGGCACGAAAGCGUGGGGAGCAAACAGG